RNAcentral lists this ribosomal RNA (292 nucleotides) under uncultured bacterium. Its description in RNAcentral is "partial 16S ribosomal RNA". The record is from RNAcentral.
GGACUACCGGGGUAUCUAAUCCUGUUUGAUCCCCACGCUUUCGGGUCUGAGUGUCAGUGUGUAGCCAGAUAGCCGCCUUCGCCUCCGGUAUUCCUCCUGAUAUCUACGUAUUUCACCACUACACCAGGAAUUCUACUAUCCUCUCUACCACUCAAGCUACGCAGUAUCAAAUGCACUUCUAGGGUUGAGCCCUAGGCUUUCACACCUGACUUACAUAGCCACCUGCACCCGCUUUACGCCCAAUAAUUCCGAACAACGCUAGGAUCCCUCGUCUUACCGCGGCUGCUGGCAC